This is a long non-coding RNA of Cyprinus carpio carpio, 472 nucleotides long. NCBI's taxonomy places the organism in Eukaryota, Metazoa, Chordata, Actinopteri, Cypriniformes, Cyprinidae. The record is from Ensembl.
GUGGCGGCCUUACAAAUUUUGAUGUUUCGCCAUGAGAAAGGAAGUUGCUAUAACUCAGACAUACAAUGUCCAAUCUGCCCCAAACUUCACAUGUUUGAGAAGACUCCUGACCUGAAUAUAUCUACAUGCCAAUAUUCAGAUAUCGCUAUAGCGCCACCUGCUGGCAACAGGAAGUGACAUGUUUUACGCCGUAACAAACUACUCCUAGAAAUUUUAUGACAUUUUAUAAUUUUUUUUUGGUCAGUCUAAUCUAAAGGCCUUUGCGAUGUUAAAUUGUGAACAUCUUGAGGUUUCAUUAAAGGGUGUGGCCAUGGCGCCGUGACAAAGUUCGAUGUCUCGCCAUGGGAAUAGAAGUUGUUGUAACUCAGGCAUAAGAUGUCCGAUCUUCCCCAAACUUCACAUGUUCGAAAAGAGUCUUGGCCUGAACACAUCUGAAGGUCAUUAUUCCACUAUAAUCAUAGCGCCACCUGCU